This 2927-nucleotide ribosomal RNA is filed under the name Klebsiella oxytoca. RNAcentral's name for it is "23S ribosomal RNA". It matches the Rfam family "Bacterial large subunit ribosomal RNA". The record is from RNAcentral. Lineage: Bacteria; Pseudomonadati; Pseudomonadota; Gammaproteobacteria; Enterobacterales; Enterobacteriaceae.
GGGUUGUGAGGUUAAGCGACUAAGCGUACACGGUGGAUGCCCUGGCAGUCAGAGGCGAUGAAGGACGUGCUAAUCUGCGAAAAGCGUCGGUAAGGUGAUAUGAACCGUUAUAGCCGGCGAUGUCCGAAUGGGGAAACCCAGUGCAAUUCGUUGCACUAUCGUUAACUGAAUACAUAGGUUAACGAGGCGAACCGGGGGAACUGAAACAUCUAAGUACCCCGAGGAAAAGAAAUCAACCGAGAUUCCCCCAGUAGCGGCGAGCGAACGGGGAGCAGCCCGGAGUCUGAAUCAGCUUGUGUGUUAGUGGAAGCGUCUGGAAAGUCGCAGGGUACAGGGUGAUACUCCCGUACACUAAAACACACAGGUUGUGAACUCGAAGAGUAGGGCGGGACACGUGGUAUCCUGUCUGAAUAUGGGGGGACCAUCCUCCAAGGCUAAAUACUCCUGACUGACCGAUAGUGAACCAGUACCGUGAGGGAAAGGCGAAAAGAACCCCGGCGAGGGGAGUGAAAAAGAACCUGAAACCGUGUACGUACAAGCAGUAGGAGCCCACUAGUUGGGUGACUGCGUACCUUUUGUAUAAUGGGUCAGCGACUUAUAUUCUGUAGCAAGGUUAACCGAAUAGGGGAGCCGCAGGGAAACCGAGUCUUAACUGGGCGUUAAGUUGCAGGGUAUAGACCCGAAACCCGGUGAUCUAGCCAUGGGCAGGUUGAAGGUUGGGUAACACUAACUGGAGGACCGAACCGACUAAUGUUGAAAAAUUAGCGGAUGACUUGUGGCUGGGGGUGAAAGGCCAAUCAAACCGGGAGAUAGCUGGUUCUCCCCGAAAGCUAUUUAGGUAGCGCCUCGUGAACUCAUCUUCGGGGGUAGAGCACUGUUUCGGCUAGGGGGUCAUCCCGACUUACCAACCCGAUGCAAACUACGAAUACCGAAGAAUGUUAUCACGGGAGACACACGGCGGGUGCUAACGUCCGUCGUGAAGAGGGAAACAACCCAGACCGCCAGCUAAGGUCCCAAAGUCAUGGUUAAGUGGGAAACGAUGUGGGAAGGCCCAGACAGCCAGGAUGUUGGCUUAGAAGCAGCCAUCAUUUAAAGAAAGCGUAAUAGCUCACUGGUCGAGUCGGCCUGCGCGGAAGAUGUAACGGGGCUAAACCAUGCACCGAAGCUGCGGCAGCGACACUAUGUGUUGUUGGGUAGGGGAGCGUUCUGUAAGCCGUUGAAGGUGGCCUGUGAGGGUUGCUGGAGGUAUCAGAAGUGCGAAUGCUGACAUAAGUAACGAUAAUGCGGGUGAAAAACCCGCACGCCGGAAGACCAAGGGUUCCUGUCCAACGUUAAUCGGGGCAGGGUGAGUCGACCCCUAAGGCGAGGCCGAAAGGCGUAGUCGAUGGGAAACAGGUUAAUAUUCCUGUACUUGGUGUUACUGCGAAGGGGGGACGGAGAAGGCUAUGUUGGCCGGGCGACGGUUGUCCCGGUUUAAGCAUGUAGGCGGAUGUUCCAGGUAAAUCCGGAACGUUAUUAACGCUGAGGUGUGAUGACGAGGCACUACGGUGCUGAAGUGACAAAUGCCCUGCUUCCAGGAAAAGCCUCUAAGCAUCAGGUAACAUCAAAUCGUACCCCAAACCGACACAGGUGGUCAGGUAGAGAAUACCAAGGCGCUUGAGAGAACUCGGGUGAAGGAACUAGGCAAAAUGGUGCCGUAACUUCGGGAGAAGGCACGCUGAUGGUAGGUGAAGUGACUUGCUCAUGGAGCUGAAAUCAGUCGAAGAUACCAGCUGGCUGCAACUGUUUAUUAAAAACACAGCACUGUGCAAACACGAAAGUGGACGUAUACGGUGUGACGCCUGCCCGGUGCCGGAAGGUUAAUUGAUGGGGUUAUCCUCACGGAGAAGCUCUUGAUCGAAGCCCCGGUAAACGGCGGCCGUAACUAUAACGGUCCUAAGGUAGCGAAAUUCCUUGUCGGGUAAGUUCCGACCUGCACGAAUGGCGUAAUGAUGGCCAGGCUGUCUCCACCCGAGACUCAGUGAAAUUGAACUCGCUGUGAAGAUGCAGUGUACCCGCGGCAAGACGGAAAGACCCCGUGAACCUUUACUAUAGCUUGACACUGAACACUGGUCCUUGAUGUGUAGGAUAGGUGGGAGGCUUUGAAGUGUGGACGCCAGUCUGCAUGGAGCCAUCCUUGAAAUACCACCCUUUAAUGGCUGGUGUUCUAACGUGGGCCCGUGAUCCGGGUUGCGGACAGUGUCUGGUGGGUAGUUUGACUGGGGCGGUCUCCUCCUAAAGAGUAACGGAGGAGCACGAAGGUCAGCUAAUCCUGGUCGGACAUCAGGAGGUUAGUGCAAUGGCAUAAGCUGGCUUGACUGCGAGCGUGACGGCGCGAGCAGGUGCGAAAGCAGGUCAUAGUGAUCCGGUGGUUCUGAAUGGAAGGGCCAUCGCUCAACGGAUAAAAGGUACUCCGGGGAUAACAGGCUGAUACCGCCCAAGAGUUCAUAUCGACGGCGGUGUUUGGCACCUCGAUGUCGGCUCAUCACAUCCUGGGGCUGAAGUAGGUCCCAAGGGUAUGGCUGUUCGCCAUUUAAAGUGGUACGCGAGCUGGGUUUAGAACGUCGUGAGACAGUUCGGUCCCUAUCUGCCGUGGGCGCUGGAGAAUUGAGGGGGGCUGCUCCUAGUACGAGAGGACCGGAGUGGACGCAUCACUGGUGUUCGGGUUGUCAUGCCAAUGGCAUUGCCCGGUAGCUAAAUGCGGAAGAGAUAAGUGCUGAAAGCAUCUAAGCACGAAACUUGCCCCGAGAUGAGUUCUCCCUGACUCCUUGAGAGUCCUGAAGGAACGUUGAAGACGACGACGUUGAUAGGCCGGGUGUGUAAGCGCAGCGAUGCGUUGAGCUAACCGGUACUAAUGAACCGUGAGGCUUAACCUUACAACGCCGAAG